GGAUAAGCUCAGGUAACUGGGCGAAAGGUUGUGCUUUGCUGGUAGGGUACAGCCCCCUCCGCUAUGGGAUAAACCAGAGUGGGGGGCAGGAUCCACCGGGCGACUCGGCGUCUGACCGCUAGGCGCCGUCACAGCGGCAAGUCGUUCAGGCGAGUAAGAUCACAACCCCUGUGAUCUGACUCGAGUGAGAGUCACCAAUGGUGGAGGGGUAACCAUUGGUGAAUCGCAGUUUCCCGGGAAAGGGAACACGGUUGCUACUGCGAUACCAGCCUGGUUUACUGUGUUGGAACAGCGCGGGGAAUCCCGCUAAAGCACGCAGUAGGCCAGGAGGCCGGCCUUGUGCGGGCCGCAAGACCGGACCUCGCCUGCGCGGGGACCAAACGUAUGCCCGCGUAGCUGCCACUGAAAGGCAACCUGAGGAUCGAGCCGAGACCCGUAACCUAGGGGAGCAUUAUUCCCCGACUUGGGGAGAGUAAGCCUCCUAGGAUAAAACCUUGGUUUCUGGGUAGGCAGCGGGGGCCAGGGUGGGUGUGCCGAUGGAAGACACUUUAUAGCGUCUACCGAAGGCAGGCUCAGAAGGCUCGGUCCGAUAAUCGGCAGUCGUAAGACGCCGACGGCCCUGCUAUGAGGCCGAAACUCCUGAGUGGCCCUCGGAGAAUAGCGUCGGGAAGCCAGCAGCCAACAAAGCGUAUAGCUUUGGGGCGCCUAAUGUUGGCAGGGGGAAGAGAGUGUGGCGAGCUCC
Molecule: non-coding RNA, 742 nt
Filed under: unclassified sequences
Description: MISL RNA
Rfam family: MISL RNA
Source: Rfam by way of RNAcentral